This 697-nucleotide ribosomal RNA is filed under the name Stemonitis fusca. Its description in RNAcentral is "SSU rRNA". It matches the Rfam family "Eukaryotic small subunit ribosomal RNA", at positions 1152 to 1671 of the family's 1831-position model. The record is from RNAcentral. Lineage: Eukaryota; Evosea; Eumycetozoa; Stemonitida; Stemonitidae.
AUUGACGGAAAGGCACACAAAGAGUGGAACCUGCGGCUUAUUUGACUCAACACGGGACAACUCACCGGGUCCAGAUACGCUAUAUGAAGAACAAGCGGAAAGACUUUUUCCAAUUACGUAAGUGGUGGUGCAUGGCCGUUCUUAGUUCGUGGAUUGAUUUGUCUGGUCUAUUCCGAUAACGAGCGAGAUCUUUAUGUUUAACUAGGGUAUCCCCUGCCAGGUCUUUCGGGCUGCUCAGUUCCUCGGUUGGGCUUCCUUUCGAGAAGGUGCGUUCGCGUUAUCGUAAGGGGGAGGUUCUUCAUGGGGGGCUGGGGUUAACAGUCCGUUUGUGCCAGCAGGGGGCCAAUUUUGAGUUUCGGCUUCUUCUUAAACAGAUCGGGGCCGAAAAGGUCCUUGAAAAAAGGUAAUAACAGGUCAGUGAUGCCCUUAGAUGUUCCGGGCCGCACGCGGGUUACAAUGGCAUGUAAAAUAAGUAUACCCCCUAUUCCAAAAGUGUCCGGUCGUUCGUGCGCCUCUCCGGGCGAUUUCGGCGGCCGGCACCGGGGGGAAGACCCGCUGCCUAACGGAUUUGCGAUAAUCAUUAAACCCUGCCUUGUCUGGGAUAGUCUUUUGUAACUAUUGGUCUUGAACGUGGAAUUUUUAGUAGGCGCAGCUCAUUAAGCUGUGCCGAAUCUGUCCCUGCCUUUUGUACACACCG